GUCCAUCUCAUCCAAGGAAACAUUUGCAGAAAUCAAAGACUUAACUUCCUUAUCAAACAUUCUAAGUUCUUGUCUUAAUAUUUUUCAAUAUAGUCAGAUGAAGAUCUUUUUACCUAUUUAAGUUCAUUCAACUUUCCAUUUUUUAUGUUUAGAUAAUGUUUAUUUCAACGAUGUAUACAGAUAUCAAGGGCUCACACUGAAAACAUGCAAGGAAAACAUUGAAGAGGUGAAAAUGAUCAAGCUGAGGACAUCAUUGAAUUCAUCGUUAAUGAAAUACCUUCUUUUCCAACAGAUGGGUAAUAAACAGAUCUGGCUCAAGGUCCGGAGGAUUCUGAGAUGCAAAGAAUGGAAGUAGCUACUGCCUCCACAGCUGAGCUGAAAUUCAACCCAGCAGUGUCCAAGCAAGGGGAUCUCUUCCCGCAGUUCCUGGAAAGCUACAACUUUGGGGGGUGCUCCCCCAGUGCCCGGAGCUCCAAAGGCAGUGCUCUGCUGAGCUGGAGAAAGCUGGACUACCAGGUGUUGGAGAAACCAAUUAAGACAACAAGUCAACAAGCAAGUAAUAGUCAAGCCUUUAAUCACUACCUAGUAUGAACAAGAAGCUACACUGGAGAAUGUGCUGAUUCCUCCUGUUGAUUUUCCCCAUGGAACAGAACCAAGUGAGGGUCUGAUGUAUCAGCGCAGAUGUGGACAUUAUCUCACUCCUGAGGGAGCCCUGAGCAA
Canis lupus familiaris (dog) is the source of this 720-nucleotide long non-coding RNA. RefSeq lists it as uncharacterized. The record is from RefSeq and is a predicted model, not a curated record. The transcript is spliced from 3 exons. NCBI's taxonomy places the organism in Eukaryota, Metazoa, Chordata, Mammalia, Carnivora, Canidae.